GAAAAUCAGAGAUUGUCAUACAAGAACCACUGAUUGGCUCAAAUGCAAGUCUGUCAAAAGAACUGAGAUAAGGGGACAGUCUACAGAGGCUUAGACACAAGGUGAUGGUCGGGCUGGUGAGCGAAUGAGAAGCAGGAAUACGUGUGUAUGACCAAUCACCGGCCAUAUCCUUAUCUGAAGCAGCAGAAGGGGUUAUGUCUGGAGCAUCUGAGACUCCCACAUCUCCUAAUGAUGCAAACAACCUCUGAUGAUGUCACUGAUGUUGCUGACAUCACUGUACUCGAGUCGUUGCUGCAGAAGAUGGCAAAUA
Bombina bombina (fire-bellied toad) is the source of this 310-nucleotide long non-coding RNA. RefSeq lists it as uncharacterized. NCBI's taxonomy places the organism in Eukaryota, Metazoa, Chordata, Amphibia, Anura, Bombinatoridae. The record is from RefSeq and is a predicted model, not a curated record. The transcript has 3 exons.